This 70-nucleotide transfer RNA is filed under the name Gekko gecko (tokay). RNAcentral describes it as "tRNA-Met". The record is from RNAcentral. Lineage: Eukaryota; Metazoa; Chordata; Lepidosauria; Squamata; Gekkonidae.
AGUAGGAUCAGCUAAAUUAAGCUUUCGGGCCCAUACCCCGACAAUGUUGGAAACAUCACUCCCGCUCCUA